UCUAGUUGGAGGGUGGUCGCCAGCCAGUC
This 29-nucleotide small RNA is filed under the name Bombyx mori (domestic silkworm). RNAcentral describes it as "ovarian small RNA-1477". The record is from RNAcentral. Lineage: Eukaryota; Metazoa; Arthropoda; Insecta; Lepidoptera; Bombycidae.